Molecule: long non-coding RNA, 2098 nt
Organism: Bubalus bubalis (water buffalo)
Lineage: Eukaryota; Metazoa; Chordata; Mammalia; Artiodactyla; Bovidae
Exons: 3
Source: RefSeq, a predicted model, not a curated record
CCGGAUUCUGGUCACGGGGAUGUGCGUGGGAGGGAGGCAGACCACACCCGGUCCUCAGUGACAGCCUCGGCGACCCUUCCCAGACUUCCCUGCAGUAGCGGUAUUGACGUCUACCUGUUCUAAGUGGCUUAGCUGCAAGGCAGCGGAGAACGACUCAACCCACACUGGUCUUUUCAAGGGGCCGUGAUGUGAAUUGGGGAAUUUGCGUCUCCCUCAGAAAGAGCAGGAUUGGCUCAGAUGAACUGUUGACUUCGGAAGGCCUUCUAGAGCACCUUUGGAGUCAAAGCUUCCUCUACAGGGCGACCUCAGAGUAGAGGGACUUCUUCCAUGCUGAUUCAGGCCCCGGAGUGCAUUCUUGAGACAGUGCUACAGGAAAGUGUACAAGGUGUUCUAAGAGCCUCGGGGAUCACGCAGCACCACUCUGGGAUCCUCUGUUGGUCAAAGCCACCCCCACAGUCCUCCAGGCUCAGAGGGAGGGCCUCAGAUGCCACCUCUUGAUGAGGAAGUGUCAAGUUCUUCAAGAGCACGUGGGAUGGAAAUGUUGUCACGUCCAUUCUUGGAAAACAUAACCUGCCACGGCCGCUGUUAAUGUUUUGCUGACUCUCCUUCUUGGCUACAGGGUGUUUUUAAGAUGGAUGAAUGAAGGACAUAUCCGUUAGGCAGUAGGCAUCUAAAUUUACAAAAUCCUGGAGCUGGAGUGCAACUUAUGCAUUUUUGGAAUACAAGGGAACUGAGGUUCCUUCACUGGAGUCUGGGUUAACAGAUCCAGGCAAGGGUUCGGAGGGAAAGCCAUCAAAGAUGGUUUGCAGCCUCUUCUCAGCCUUGGAGAAGUCUGAGCUUUGACACACCAUCAAAUCCCUCCUGCAACUAACUCAAGAAUUGUAAAUGUGUGUAUUGGAUCCAAGACACACAAAAGCCCUGCUGAAAUGGCUUUGAGGUAACAAGGGCACUUGCAUCUAUUUAAAUUGGUCAGGGGGUAAUCUGUAAUCAAUGAACCUUAUUUGAUGAGAUGCAGCUGUGUGCUAGAAAAUGGGGCCUAAUUACACACCCCUGAGGGUAUAUAUCUGAUAAACAAAUAAAUAAAGUUUCCUUGACUUCUAGCUCUUUCUCACAAUGGUCCAUACCCACUGCCUUCUCUCUCAUGAUCAUCAUUCCAAGUGUGGAGUGAGUGAGAUAUUUAGAAGGCAGGUCUGGGCAUCACGAGAUCUCUACCUGGCUGUCACUGUGUGUUGUUUGGCUGUCCUUUAUCCUUUCUUGAUGUUUGAGUAAAGCUUAACUCUUUGUGCAUCCUGUGAGUUUGACUGGCAACCUGAACCCAAGACCACUGCAGGUGAUCAAGCAGAGAAGGCAUUGCAGUGUCUGACAAUGUGAAUUUUGGAAAAUCCCUCCAGGCACCCUCAGUUGGAAGUAACUGCGAUCAGUGGCCUCAGUUUGCAGAUGAGAAACUGGUUCAAGAAGGCGAGCUGACCUGCCUAAAGUCUCACAGCUGCUUGUGGACAGAGUCAAGACUAGAACUCAAGUCUUCUGUAUACACGCUCUCUGCUUUUCCAUUGGCAUGCACUCCCCAAAACGUGUUUUGCACAAUGCUGGCCCCGUGUAUCGCUCUGUGAUGAACUGUGUUCUCUAUGACUGAAUGACUUUAGUUUGGAGAAAUGCUGUGUACCUAACCUCCUGGAGAUUUAUACUAUACUAAAGGCUCUGAGAAAUCAUCUAGUUAAGAAAUUUUGCUCCAUUUAGCUUAAAGAUGCCCCAAAUUAUUUGAACAUGGAACUCUUCAUUUUUACAACUAUUAAACAUCUGUACAAACAGCAAAUUUGGUGAAACAACCUAUGAGGAAAGCUGGCACUGAGAAAGCCAGACUGAAUAAAGGGAUUAAUGACAACUGUCCUCAAAGAUGCAACAACCAGAUUGUAGGUACUCCUGUGCUUGUUAUUAAAAAAUCACAAAUUGGUUUUAAAAUUUAUAAGUAGUUUGUAUCAAAGUUAGUAGUAACACAGACUAUAAUUAAGAUGUGUAGAGCUCUUGUGAGUUACCAUGGGGGUUAGGGGUCUCAUUUGGAAAAAUCAGUGCUGUGUGGAAAAGCCCCAAACCCUCAGAG